AGAGUUUGAUCCUGGCUCAGGACGAACGCUGGCGGCGUGCUUAACACAUGCAAGUCGAACGGUGAAGCCCAGCUUGCUGGGUGGAUCAGUGGCGAACGGGUGAGUAACACGUGAGCAACCUGCCCUCCACUUCGGGAUAAGCCUUGGAAACGGGGUCUAAUACCGGAUAUGAGCACUCACUGCAUGGUGGGUGUUGGAAAGUUUUUCGGUGGGGGAUGGGCUCGCGGCCUAUCAGCUUGUUGGUGGGGUAAUGGCCUACCAAGGCGUCGACGGGUAGCCGGCCUGAGAGGGCGACCGGCCACACUGGGACUGAGACACGGCCCAGACUCCUACGGGAGGCAGCAGUGGGGAAUAUUGCACAAUGGGCGAAAGCCUGAUGCAGCGACGCCGCGUGAGGGAUGACGGCCUUCGGGUUGUAAACCUCUUUCAGCAGGGAAGAAGCGAAAGUGACGGUACCUGCAGAAGAAGCGCCGGCUAACUACGUGCCAGCAGCCGCGGUAAUACGUAGGGCGCAAGCGUUGUCCGGAAUUAUUGGGCGUAAAGAGCUCGUAGGCGGUCUGUCGCGUCUGGUGUGAAAUCCCAUGGCUCAACUGUGGGCUUGCAUCGGGUACGGGCAGACUAGAGUACUGUAGGGGAGACUGGAAUUCCUGGUGUAGCGGUGGAAUGCGCAGAUAUCAGGAGGAACACCGAUGGCGAAGGCAGGUCUCUGGGCAGUUACUGACGCUGAGGAGCGAAAGCAUGGGGAGCGAACAGGAUUAGAUACCCUGGUAGUCCAUGCCGUAAACGUUGGGCACUAGGUGUGGGGCCAGUUCCACUGGUUCUGUGCCGUAGCUAACGCAUUAAGUGCCCCGCCUGGGGAGUACGGCCGCAAGGCUAAAACUCAAAGGAAUUGACGG
Molecule: ribosomal RNA, 896 nt
Filed under: uncultured bacterium
Lineage: Bacteria
Description: bacterial SSU rRNA
Rfam family: Bacterial small subunit ribosomal RNA
Source: RNAcentral